Molecule: ribosomal RNA, 893 nt
Filed under: uncultured bacterium
Lineage: Bacteria
Description: bacterial SSU rRNA
Rfam family: Bacterial small subunit ribosomal RNA
Source: RNAcentral
AGAGUUUGAUCCUGGCUCAGGACGAACGCUGGCGGCGUGCCUAACACAUGCAAGUCGAACGGGGUAAUUCCUUCGGGGGUUACUUAGUGGCGAACGGGUGAGUAACGCGUGAGAAACCUGCCUUUCAGUGGGGGACAACAGUUGGAAACGACUGCUAAUACCGCAUAAUGUCAUUUGGGGGCAUCCCUAAAUGACCAAAGCUUAAUGUGCUGAAAGAUGGUCUCGCGUCUGAUUAGCUAGUUGGUGAGGUAACGGCUCACCAAGGCGACGAUCAGUAGCCGGUCUGAGAGGAUGAACGGCCACAUUGGGACUGAGAUACGGCCCAGACUCCUACGGGAGGCAGCAGUGGGGAAUAUUGGGCAAUGGGGGAAACCCUGACCCAGCAACGCCGCGUGAGGGAAGAAGGCCUUCGGGUUGUAAACCUCUUUUACCAGGGACGAAGGAAAUGACGGUACCUGGAGAAAAAGCAACGGCUAACUACGUGCCAGCAGCCGCGGUAAUACGUAGGUUGCAAGCGUUGUCCGGAUUUACUGGGUGUAAAGGGCGUGUAGGCGGAGAUGCAAGUUGGGAGUGAAAUCCCGGGGCUCAACCCCGGAACUGCUUUCAAAACUGUAUCCCUUGAGUAUCGGAGAGGCGAGCGGAAUUCCUAGUGUAGCGGUGAAAUGCGUAGAUAUUAGGAGGAACACCAGUGGCGAAGGCGGCUUGCUGGACGACAACUGACGCUGAGGCGCGAAAGCGUGGGGAGCAAACAGGAUUAGAUACCCUGGUAGUCCACGCUGUAAACGAUGAAUACUAGGUGUGGGAGGACUGACCCCUUCCGUGCCGCAGUUAACACAAUAAGUAUUCCACCUGGGGAGUACGACCGCAAGGUUGAAACUCAAAGGAAUUGACGG